RNAcentral lists this ribosomal RNA (810 nucleotides) under uncultured bacterium. RNAcentral describes it as "bacterial SSU rRNA". It matches the Rfam family "Bacterial small subunit ribosomal RNA", at positions 62 to 865 of the family's 1533-position model. The record is from RNAcentral.
UCGACGGCAGCGCGGGGAGCUUGCUCCCUGGCGGCGAGUGGCGCACGGGUGAGUAAUACAUCGGAACGUGUCUUCUAGUGGGGGAUAACUGCCCGAAAGGGCAGCUAAUACCGCAUGAGACCUGAGGGUGAAAGCGGGGGAUCGCAAGACCUCGCGCUGGAAGAGCGGCCGAUGUCCGAUUAGCUAGUUGGUGAGGUAAAGGCUCACCAAGGCGACGAUCGGUAGCUGGUCUGAGAGGACGACCAGCCACACUGGGACUGAGACACGGCCCAGACUCCUACGGGAGGCAGCAGUGGGGAAUUUUGGACAAUGGGGGCAACCCUGAUCCAGCCAUGCCGCGUGCAGGAUGAAGGUCUUCGGAUUGUAAACUGCUUUUGUCAGGGACGAAAAGGGAUGCGAUAACACCGUAUUCCGCUGACGGUACCUGAAGAAUAAGCACCGGCUAACUACGUGCCAGCAGCCGCGGUAAUACGUAGGGUGCAAGCGUUAAUCGGAAUUACUGGGCGUAAAGCGUGCGCAGGCGGUUCUGUAAGAUAGAUGUGAAAUCCCCGGGCUCAACCUGGGAAUUGCAUAUAUGACUGCAGGACUUGAGUUUGUCAGAGGAGGGUGGAAUUCCACGUGUAGCAGUGAAAUGCGUAGAUAUGUGGAAGAACACCGAUGGCGAAGGCAGCCCUCUGGGACAUGACUGACGCUCAUGCACGAAAGCGUGGGGAGUAAACAGGAUUAGAUACCCUGGUAGUCCACGCCCUAAACGAUGUCUACUAGUUGUUGGGGACGAUAGUCCUUGGUAACGCAGCUAACGCGUGAAGU